CCCCCUUUAAAAGCACUUGAUGGGUCCUUUACUAGUGACUCAUUGAGCCGUCAAGAAGGGGCAGAGUAAAAACACCGCUUUUGGGUGAAGUGGCAGCAUGUUGUGUUGUUUUGCUUCAAUCGGUGGUGUGACAGCG
Molecule: small nucleolar RNA, 136 nt
Organism: Carlito syrichta (Philippine tarsier)
Lineage: Eukaryota; Metazoa; Chordata; Mammalia; Primates; Tarsiidae
Source: Ensembl